This is a long non-coding RNA of Passer domesticus (house sparrow), 736 nucleotides long. RefSeq lists it as uncharacterized. The transcript is spliced from 2 exons. Lineage: Eukaryota; Metazoa; Chordata; Aves; Passeriformes; Passeridae. The record is from RefSeq and is a predicted model, not a curated record.
CAAAAACCCAAUGCAGCUGUUUUUUCUCCUCAUUAACAGCAUUAAUUGCUAAAUUUUCUUGCAACAACUUUUAACAAUUGCAGGAGACCAAACAUCUUUAAAGCUGCUAGAAGUCCUUACCUAAUGCUGAUGAAUUAGCAUUAAAGACUGACAACUGUACUACAAAGAUCAUCACUAAAAUUAGCAUGCCUGAGUGCUAGCUUAUCUACCUGCCCACCCACUGACCCGGGAACUACCAGCAUGUGAAGAAACAGCCAACUGGGAAGACGGCCAAGAACUAAAACACAGAAUCUACAAAUAAUUCUCUUAUUACUGCUUUGAACUUUAACACAAAAUGCCUUAGCUGGAAGAUUAGACCUGGAAAUUUGAUGGAAAUUCCAUUCAUUUUCUAAACACUAGAGAGUUCAAUUUAAAAAAAUCAUUUUCAGAUUUUUUCCCUCACACACAUUCAUGUGUGAGGGAAAAAAACUGUACACCACGUGAGCACCUAAUGACACACUUCAAUGCAUACAUACACACAUAUGUGUAUAUAUAUGUGUAUGUAAGUAUAUAUACAAACACUGAAAUACAUAUAUAUUCUCAUUACAUAUGCCAUAUACAUUACGUAUGCCUAUCCAUAUGAACGUAAUAAUCCUGAAGGACUAAUUGCAUUCAUUCAUGUUUUCAGCCCAGCAUGAAGCUAGUAGAUUGCUGAGAUCAUAGCAACAGGGGAGAGAAAGGAAGGCUCAUCUUUAUC